This 1117-nucleotide long non-coding RNA is filed under the name Vulpes vulpes (red fox). RNAcentral describes it as "lncRNA (ENSVVUG00000018530.1)". The record is from RNAcentral. Lineage: Eukaryota; Metazoa; Chordata; Mammalia; Carnivora; Canidae.
CCCCGCGCCCGCGGAGCCCCGGCUCCCGCCUGCCCAGCCCCCUCCCGGGGAGCGAGCCGGGACCCAGGGGUGGGAGCAGAGUCGGGGCUUUGUGGCGCCGGGGGCCGAGGAAGAAUGAAACGUGCAGUUGGGAGUGUUGCUCGCGUCCCAGGGAGCAGCGCAGGCCCGAUUGUCUGCCGCCGAGAUGGCCUUUUGUUCGGAGCAUAAGGUUUAAGAAACACACACACGUUUUCUGGGGUCUCUUGUUGGAUGUAAAUGUGCCGCAUCCAGACGCUCGCGGNNNNNNNNNNNNNNNNNNNNNNNNNCGCCCCGCCCCGCCCCGCCCCGCCCCGGCGACCGGGACCGUUGGGACGCGGACCUCACCCAGACUUCUGGGCCGCCGGCACUGCCUUCGCCCCGUUUCACUCCAGACUAGCCAAGCAUCCCACGGAGAUGAUAAAGCAAACAAUAACAUCUGAUCAUGACGUCCACGAGAUAAUGUGCCCGGCAAAGUUCUUUAGGAAUCGGGAUGAGCGGGAGGGUGAGGGAGUGAUCGUUUCCCUUCGUUUUCCUUAAACGUGACUUUAAGAGAUAAAUGGUGAAGUUUAUACCUUGGCCUGCUGGACAGCCGGUCCGCCCCAUGGCACGAAGCUCGGCAUCAAAGGGCCAAAUUAGACAUUCGACCGGGAGCCCUCGAAGCUGAGGAUGUUACCUUUGAAGAACAGAAACAAUGAAAAUACAGAGGAAUUGCAUUUGGAUACUUCUUCCUGUCAAUCAUCUUUGCCAGAUUCCUAUUUGAACAUCCUGAAAAUGAGGAAGACAUCAGAUCUCGCCUUAAGGAAGUCUGAUACCCAGGAGAUGAUCCGAGUUUCAACUCUCUGUGGUGAAAAGAGGGUGAAGAGCAGCAGAAAAUCCAAUUCUCUUGACCUUCAGGACAUGGAGCAGAACUCAUCGCUUCCACCUGGCCUACCCAAGUCUAAGUGCUUUUCACCGUCUGGAAAUAUUCUAAGAUAGAAGAUCUGAGUUCACAUAUUUAAUACAGGUUAGUCUUUGGCUCUGUGAUGCUAAAUAGUUACCCUACUUAUUUCUGCUGUGUUGAGGCAGAGUAGAGGUGCUGACAGAGUUGAGAAAUUGUGGA